GCGGGUGUGCUGGAAUAGGUAGACAGGCAUGGUUGAGGGCCAUGUGUCCGCAAGGACGUGGAGGUUCAAGUCCUCUCACCCGCA
RNAcentral lists this transfer RNA (84 nucleotides) under Actinomycetes bacterium. Its description in RNAcentral is "Actinobacteria bacterium tRNA-Leu". It matches the Rfam family "tRNA". Rfam says of the family: Transfer RNA (tRNA) molecules are approximately 80 nucleotides in length. Lineage: Bacteria; Bacillati; Actinomycetota; Actinomycetes. RNAcentral also lists the same sequence under 2 other names. The record is from RNAcentral.